Daphnia magna is the source of this 2978-nucleotide long non-coding RNA. RefSeq lists it as uncharacterized. The transcript has 12 exons. The record is from RefSeq and is a predicted model, not a curated record. Lineage: Eukaryota; Metazoa; Arthropoda; Branchiopoda; Diplostraca; Daphniidae.
UGCUGAAUUUUUGUGCUUAAUUUACAUGUGCAUACCAAAGUGAUACCGUGCAUGAUUUAAUUAAAAAUUACGGUGUGUGAAGCAUUGGAUCAGUAGGGAAACCCAAAAUUAUUAUCUUAGCGGACUCAGCGCCACCAUGCGGCAUGUCACGCGCAUAGCUACAGGGGGAUAUAGGCGUUAGCGGUCUUCCACUUCGUUGUCUAUGCUACCACCUUGUAAAUGUAUAAUAGGACAAUCCUUUUAGCCUAACGCGGAAGUAACCCGCUGCCAAUAGCAAAUCGCAAAUGUCCUGCAAUUUUGCUCUUUGUUCUUCAUCGUCCUUUACUUCAAAGAGCUCCUGAAAAAAAUCAACUCGGCAAUUUUAGUAAAGAAUCUCAAUCCUUUUUUGAAAAUCGAAACGUUACCCGCUUGUCCAUUAUACAAAACAGAGAAAUGUGACAGGCUGACACUAUUGCAAACUAUUGCAAGAUCGGUCGUGAUAUUUUCAUGACUUGUUUUUGUUUUUGGGUUCAAAAUUGAAACUAUAGAUGGCCAAUUAUGCAAAUGCUGCCGCAAAGCGGCGCACAUGUCUAUUGCAGACGAAAACUACAUACAAUUGUGCUGCGAUCGUUAGCAUUAAGCGCGGCAAAACAGCUGUGAAAAACAGCUGUUAGUUAGCCGUUUUUUUGAAAUAUUUCAGUUACCUGCUGUCUGAAGCUAGCAUGUUUGACAUUUUGUUACAUAUUAUUGAAGUUAAUUGUAAACUUGCAGAGUUGAAAACUGAUUUGAAAAGUUGGAAGAUCUUUGUUUAUAAUUACCAAUAAUGAUGGUGCAGAUCAUGAUUCUUGAACAAUGCUAAGUUAUCUUAUGAUUCUUUCAAAUACAGGGAUUAUAUUGAACAUUACAAUUUGCCUGCUGUGCUUGAGUUAACUUCAUCCCCAUGUCAUUGACCAGUGGCCCAGUCAUGUUAAGGGCAACUGUCAUGCAGCUUUGUCCUUUGCUGCUCUAUACUUUUCAAAGCUCUUCACUCUGUCUACUGACCAAGAUAUCAGAAGAAUUGAUCAACUCUGUAACUCCCUCACAGGUUGAUUAGGAGGGGAAACGUGGACAUAAUCAAAAAAUAUAUUUGGUUCAAUUCUGGCGUUAGAUGGCCAAGGAAGGAAAAGGCGGGAAAAAAAAAUGUGAUGUAAAACCGGUUGCCAACUUGCCAUAUUGCCAUAUCUUUCUUUUAAGAAGCAACGAAAAUGACGAAAAUGUACAUGCGACAAGUGUCAUCGUGUGGUGGAAAAAUAAAGCUUGAUGCCUUGUCGCGCAUUGAAGAGAACUUAUAUAAAGCCCUGCACCGAAUGAAUCAUUUUUCUUUGGUGCUGACUGUCGUCGUUCGUGGACGUAAGUUUUCACGUAGUCGAAUUUUAAGUUUUUUUAAGUCUUUUUGUUACUGUACCAGAAUGUCGUCAAAAUUCGUAGGAUGAGUUUAGAUAAUCCCUGUUUGCAGUUCGACAGAGCAUGGUGGUGGCAGUGUUGGCUUAAGAGGUCAAAACUAACGUAAAUUUUCAUAUUUUGCUGGGCAUAUACACAAAAUCAAUCGUAUUUGGGUUGUUGAAAUAUUAACUUGACUAGAGAUUUUUUGAACGUGUGGUCAUGGUAAUGGUGCUAGGGUCUGCCGUAUUUGAGACAGCUGUUGGAAAGUAGGAUGAUGUAUUAAAUGGUGUUUCAACUGAGCUUUUGCUGCUUACAAGUCUGUUUUUCUGUCCAUGAGGCUGCAUUGUCUAAUGGAUGUUGUGGCUUUACUCCCUAAUGCCAAAGCAGUAGUAUGUGCUUCCAUGUCUGUACUUCAUGGUUUAGGCAUGAUGAAAUUCAAAUAUGAAUAUGAGAACAUGUUGGACCACUAUUUGUUAAUGCAGCAGCUUUGAUGACAUGCUUCUAUAUAGUGGAAGUAUCAUUAAGCAUUUGUAAAUUUUUUUUUGUGUAUGAUUACUCAAAACUACUUAAAGAAAGAGUUGGCAGGUAUCCUUAGAAUAGGUAAAGCUUUUCUUUGUUGCUCUCUUGUGAUCUGGUGAAGAGUUAGCUUCUUGUUACUUCAAUGACCAUUGUGCUUGAUUGCAUUAGUCUGCUACUGUUGGUUGACUCAUUGCAGGUAUAAUGUUGUAUUUGUAUCUUGCACUUCUUUUACAUGUUUGUGAUUUGUUUCUGAGAGGAAUUGAUUUUCUAUCACCAUUUUAGGUGACUGCAUCAGCAAAGUGUUCAUUUUAGAGGGCACUUGCACGCUUAUUUGUGCAUGCAUUUGGACGAAGUGCAUGGCUCUGGCUUGUCCUGAUCAUGGAUUCUCCUCCUGACCUUAUUGUUACAUCCUCUGGUAUUACUUUGCAUCGUUUCCUCAUGCUGGCAUGGUACAAAUGUGAGGCAGGAUGGUCACAUGACUUGGCAUAUUGACAGAACAUGAAGUUGGAUUGCCCUCUUGCCAGUGUUGUAUACAGUGGUGGUUGCUCUAUGUUUGUACAUUUGUGGGAUUUUCUAUCCGCCGGUGGUGCUGUUUAGACGAUCGCAGGAUGCACGAAGCAACAGAUUAAUUUUACAUGUUUUUGUGGAAUUAGGUCUGCGUACGCCGAAGCCGAAAGGGACGUGACAUAUGAUGAAAAUUUAUGCCAAUUGAAGUUGAACUGCGCCUGAAAAUAUCCUUAAUUUUCUUAGAGUAGAUUUAGCAGUGUAUGUUGCAUUUUCUGUACCCCGUUUUACUUGUCUUGUGAUAAGGUCAUAGUGUGGUAGAUUGUUCUGCGGUGAUUUACAUGGACAUGGAAUUUACUCCAUUUGCAAUAUUAUCAGCGGGAUAAAAGGGUUUUCACAUAUGCUAAUUUAUGUCAAUCUUUACCUGGAAUAUGUUCUCCAAAAUUGUCUUGUUACUCUUCCGCUUCUAUUUGCUAUAAUGCUUUUUCUUGGUGAACUGUUAAUAACUUGUUGUAAAUGUAAAUAGUAUUGAUAAUAAACGAUAUAAAAUAAAA